This 253-nucleotide ribosomal RNA is filed under the name uncultured bacterium. Its description in RNAcentral is "partial 16S ribosomal RNA". It matches the Rfam family "Bacterial small subunit ribosomal RNA", at positions 524 to 776 of the family's 1533-position model. The record is from RNAcentral.
UACGGAGGGUGCAAGCGUUGCUCGGAAUUAUUGGGCGUAAAGGGCAGGUAGGUGGUCCGCUUUGUCAGGGGUGAAAGCCUUGGGCUUAACUCAAGAAGUGCCCCUGAAACGGUCGGACUAGAGUGCUGGAGAGGUUAGUGGAAUUCCCGGUGUAGCGGUGAAAUGCGUAGAGAUCGGGAGGAACACCAGAGGCGAAGGCGGCUAACUGGACAGUGACUGACACUCAACUGCGAAAGCGUGGGGAGCAAACAGG